RNAcentral lists this non-coding RNA (147 nucleotides) under Crystallibacter crystallopoietes. RNAcentral describes it as "Arthrobacter crystallopoietes FMN sequence". It matches the Rfam family "FMN riboswitch aptamer (RFN element)". From Rfam's summary of the family: The RFN element is a highly conserved domain that is found frequently in the 5'-untranslated regions of prokaryotic mRNAs that encode for flavin mononucleotide (FMN) biosynthesis and transport proteins. This element is a metabolite-dependent riboswitch that directly binds FMN in the absence of proteins. RNAcentral also lists the same sequence under 1 other name. The record is from RNAcentral. Lineage: Bacteria; Bacillati; Actinomycetota; Actinomycetes; Micrococcales; Micrococcaceae.
AACGUGCUCCGGGGUCGGUGUAAGUCCGAACCGGCGGUAAUAGUCCGCGACCCGCGUCCUGUGGAACAGCAAAUGUUCCCCCAGGCAGCGGUUGAACCGGUGGAAUUCCGGUACCGACAGUCAAAGUCUGGAUGGGAGAAGCACGUA